AGGCAGCAGCGUUGAAUCGAACACAAUCGCAUAAUGUCUGAUGGAGCAAUGCCGCGUGAGUGAAGAAGGUUUUCGGAUCGUAAGACUGUGUUGUGAGGGAAGAACAAGUACGAGAGUAACUCCUUCAACUUUGACGGUACCUCAUUAGAAAGCCACAGCGCCCAACGUGCCAGCAGCCGAGGUACAGGGUAUGUGGUCAGGGUCGUUCGGAAUUAUUUCGCUUAAAAGGGUCACUGUCGGUCCAGAAAGUCGCAUUUGAAAUCCCACGGCUCCACCGUGUAAGGUCAUUUGAACCUGGCAGCAGGAAGUACAGUAGAGGAAAGCGGAAUCCCAAGUGUAGCGGUGAAUUGCGUAGAGAUUUGGAGGAACACCAGAUUUCACGGAGGACGUCUGGCCUGUAAUAGGAGCUGAGGCGGGACAGUAAGGGGAGCAA
Molecule: ribosomal RNA, 433 nt
Filed under: uncultured Bacillus sp.
Lineage: Bacteria; Bacillati; Bacillota; Bacilli; Caryophanales; Bacillaceae
Description: bacterial SSU rRNA
Rfam family: Bacterial small subunit ribosomal RNA
Source: RNAcentral